Long non-coding RNA from Oncorhynchus masou masou (cherry salmon), 287 nucleotides. RefSeq lists it as uncharacterized. The transcript has 3 exons. The record is from RefSeq and is a predicted model, not a curated record. Lineage: Eukaryota; Metazoa; Chordata; Actinopteri; Salmoniformes; Salmonidae.
AUGACCCACAACCACCCUACAGGUUUCCUGGGCUCUCUGACCACGGCUCUGUUUGCAUCGUACGCGGUGCAGGGCAAACCGCUGGUGACCUGGGGUCGCGACCUCAUGAAGGUCAUCCCCAAGGCCGAGGAGUACUGUAAGAAGACCAUACGCCACAUGGCAGAGUACCAGGAGAAGUGGUUCUACUUCGAGGCUAAGUGGCAGUUCUACCUGGAGGAGAGAGGCGUGGAGGAGGAGGGGCAGAACAAGCCCCUGUUUCCUGACACCUACAACGCUGAGGAGACAGA